CUUGCUUUCUUUGCUGGCGACCGGCGCACGGGUGAGUAACACGUAUCCAACCUGCCCUUUCGUCGGGGAUAGCCUUUCGAAAGAAAGAUUAAUACCCGAUAGUAUAAUGAUUCCGCAUGGUUUCAUUAUUAAAGGAUUCCGGUAAAGGAUGGGGAUGCGUUCCAUUAGGUUGUUGGUGGGGUAACGGCUCACCAAGCCUUCGAUGGAUAGGGGUUCUGAGAGGAAGGUCCCCCACAUUGGAACUGAGACACGGUCCAA
RNAcentral lists this ribosomal RNA (258 nucleotides) under uncultured bacterium. RNAcentral's name for it is "partial 16S ribosomal RNA". It matches the Rfam family "Bacterial small subunit ribosomal RNA", at positions 75 to 334 of the family's 1533-position model. The record is from RNAcentral.